AGUAGAUCCGAUAAAUUGCCUAGGAGGAGUUCGUUGAAAUACAACGCGAAAAAUCACAGAAAAUGACCAAAAGAAUCUAAAUGGCUGACUUUGAUGCCACGCCACGGACACGCCCUUCAACGUACAUGCACAAAUAGCACAACUUUUAAUCAGGACCAUUUUUUGAGUGUACUCACAAAUUUUGAAGCAUAUCCGAUCAAUUCCCUAGGAGGAGUUCGUUCAAAUACAACGCGAAAAGUUCACCGAAAGUGAAACUUUAAAUCAAAAUGGCCGACUUUCUGUGGGGUUUCGGGUAUGGGUCCAAGAGGCUUUUUUGUACGUCCCGAGAUUCUAAACGGGCCUACCGAGUUUCGUACAUAUCGGUGAAACGUGGCGCCGGGGCUGCUGUUUAUUUAUCCUGUAGGGGGCGCUACACACAGGACAAACACGAUUUUUGGUAUGUGAGCUUCAGGCACUACUCUACACGUGCCCUGUGAAUUUCAUAUUCAUAACUAUUACGGUAUCCGUACAGUGAUUUUUCAUGCCAAAAGAGCGCCACCUAGUGGCGUAUUUUUUUUGUCCUUUUUAAGGGAGCCUCAGGGAGCCAUGGGGAAGCAUCGUACCAAGUUUCAUCUUAAUCACACAUACCGUUGUAGAGAUAUAAACGUCUUCAUUUUAAAGAGCGCCACCUAGUGCUGAUGGCCUGAAAUUGUGCACGAUGCUUAAGGAAGACACCUGGAACUAUGCACCCAAGUUUGGUGUCAAUCGGACAUACCAAUGUGGAGAAAUGGUCCACUUCCUUUUUUGAUGAAAAUUCCACAGGAAGUGCUAAUUUUAUAGCGUGCUUAUUGUUUGAAAUUUCGAAAAUGUUCAAAUUGCUUUUUUUGCCAGGGCGGUCCCCAGGUGCUAGGUGAAAAAUUUCGUGCGAAUCGGACAAAGCGUGUAGGAGAAACACGAAAAAGUAGUUUAACGACAUUUCGCACUCUAACGAAAAAAAAUUAUAGGCGGAAGUGGGCGGGGCCUAUAUGGAGAGAUUCAGCUCCAUUCACCGAACGCGUGGAUAUAAGUUUUUUGAAUGUGCGAGCAAAUAUGCAAAAGUUAUUAAGUAACAAAAAAGUGAAAAUUCGUUUCUCAAUAGUAGCGCCACCUAGUGGCAGACCCGAAAGUGACACAUGUAAACUCCGCAUUUUCACCAGGCCUGACAACUUUGCCAAAUAAAAUUGACUUUUCGUAUAUGUUCAGGGGGGUAAAAAUGCAGUCAAAGGGUCCUAAAAAUAAUAAUAAUAAUAAUAAUAAGAAACGAACCAAAAACAAUAGGGACCUCCAGCGGUCGCUUGCGAGGUCCCUAAUUAAAGCUGCAAGCAGCGUUGAGCGGGACCUCGCACCCCACCCAACUCGGGGCGUGCUGCGGCCGCGUCGCGUGCCGUCGUAACACUUGGGGACCACAACAUGAAAAUGUCACGUAAAUCAGCUCAAAAUCGCCACGCAGCGCUUACCACCUGUUGCCGGAAGGUGGCGCUAUCACUAUGUCUUAAUAUUGUCAUGUAGACAAGUUCAGGGCGGGACUGUUGUAACACACGUGAAGUUUCAUUGAGAUUGGACCACGUACGCUGAAGUUAUGAGGACGUGUUCAGGGCGAGACUGUUACAGAAUAUAUGAAGUUCACUGGAGAUUGGACAUUGCACACUGAAGUUAUGAGUGGCAUUUCAUGGCGAAUCCACUGAAUUUGACAAGUCGUCACUGGCACCGUCAUUUCACGUAACGCAGCACAAAAUCGCCAUGCAGCGCUUACCACCUGUUGCCAGAAGGUGGCGCUAUCACUAUGUCUUAAUAUUGUCAUGUAGACAAGUUCAGGGCGGGACUGUUGUAACACACGUGAAGUGUCAUUGAGAUUGGACCACUUACGCUGAAGUUACGAGGACGUGUUCAGGGCGAGACUGUUACAGAAUAUAUGAAGUUCACUGGAGAUUGGACAUUGCACACUGAAGUUAUGAGUGGCAUUUCAUGGCGAAUCCACUGAAUUUGACAAGUCGUUACUGGCAACGUCAUUUCACGUAACGCAGCUCAAAAUCGCCACGCAACGCUUACUUCCUGUUGCCAGUAGGUGGCGCUAUCACUAUGUCUGAAUAUUGUCAUGUAGACAUGUUCAGGGUGGGACUUAUCAAACACGUGAAGUUUCAUUGAAAUUGGAUCAUGUACACUGAAGUUGAGUACUAUCUGUUUAUGGUGACUGGUCGAAAUUCAAUGCAAUGCCACGGGCACGCCGUUUGACGGAAUGUCGUAAAUAGCACAACUUUAAAUCAUGAAUGUCUUUAGAUUGCGCUGAUAAAAUUUGAAGUAGAUCCGAUAAAUUCCCUAGGAGGAGUUCGUUCAAAUACAAGGCGAAAAAUCACAGAAAAUGAGCACAGAAUUUAAAAUGGCUGAGUUUGAUGCCAAGCCACGGACACGCCGUUUGAUGGAAUGUCGUAAAUAGCACAACUUUUAAUCAUGAAUGUCUUUAGAUUGCGCUGAUUAAAUCUGAAGUAGAUCCGAUAAAUUCCCUAGGAGGAGUUCGUUCAAAUACAAAGCGAAAAAUCACAGAAAAUGAGCACAGAAUGCAAAAUGGCUGACUUUGAUGGCAAGCCACGGACACGCCGUUUGACGGAAUGUCGUAAAUAGCACAACUUUUAAUCAUGAAUGUCUUUAGAUUGCGCUGAUUAAAUUUGAAGUUGAUCCGAUAAAUUCCCUAGGAGGAGUUCGUUCAAAUACAAGGCGAAAAAUUCACCGAAAAUGCGCACGGAAUUCACUAUGGCCAACUUUGAGGGCACGCCACGGACACGCCCUUCAACGUACAUGCACAAAUAGCACAACUUUUAAUCAGGACCAUUUUUUGAGUGUACUCACAAAUUUUGAAGCAUAUCCGAUAAAUUCCCUAGGAGGAGUUCGUUCAAAUACAACGCGAAAAGUUCGCCGAAAUCGAAACUUUAAAUCAAAAUGGCCGACUUCCUGUGGGGUUUGGGGUAUGGGUCCAAGAGGCUUUUUUGUACAUCCCGGCAUGUUACGCGUGCCUACCAAGUUUCGUACAUAUCGGUGAAACGUGGCGCCGGGGCUGCUGUUUUUUUAUCCUGUAGGGGGCGCUACACACACGACAAACACGAUUUUUGGUAUGUGAGCUUCAGGCACUACUCUACACGUGCCCUGUGAAUUUCAUAUUCAUAACUAUUACGGUCUCCGCACAGUGAUUUAUCCUGCCACCAGAGCGCCACCCAGUGGCCUGAUUUUUUUUCCUUUUUUGGGGAGCCUCAGUGAGCCAUGGGCAAGCAUCCUACCAAGUUUCAUUUUAAUCACACGUGCCGUUGCAGAGAUAUAAACGUCUUCAUUUUAAAGAGCGCCACCUAGUGGUUAUGGUCUGAAAUUGUGCACGGUGCCUAAGGAGGACAUGAGGAACUAUGGACCCAAGUUUGAUGUGAAUCAAACAUACCAAUGUUAAGAAAUGGUCCUCUUUCUUUUUUGACGAAAAAUCUACAGGAAGUCUUAAUUUUACAGCGCGCUUAUUUUUUGAAAUUUCAAAAAGGUUCAAAUUACUUUUUUUGCCAGGGCGGUCCCCAGGUGCUAGGUGAAAAAUUUCGUGGGAAUUGGACAAAGCGUGUAGGAGGACCACGAAAACGUACUUUAAGGACUUUUCGCACUCUAGCGGAAAAAAAUUAUAGGCGGAAGUGGGCGGGGCCUAUAUGGAGAGAUUCAGCUCCAUUCACUGAACGCGUGGAUAUAAGUUUUUUGAAUGUGCGACAAAAUAUGCAGAAGUUAUUAAGUAACCAAAAAGUGAAAAUACUUUCCUAAAUAGUAGCGCCACCUAGUGGCCGACCUGAAAAAGACACAUAGAAUAUCAAAUUUUUCACCAGGCCUGACAACUUUGCCAAAUAAAAUUGAGUUUUCGUAUAUAUUCAGGGGGGGAAAAACGCAGUCGAAGUGGCCUAAAAAUAAUAAUAAUAAUAGGUAAGAAAUCGAGCAAAAACAAUAGGGACCUCCAGCGGUCGCUUGCGAGGUCCCUAAUUAAAGCUGCAAGCAGCGUUGAGCGGGACCUCGCACUCCACCCAACUCGGGGCGUGCUGCGGCCGCGUCGCGGGCCGUCGUAACACGUGGGGACCACAACAUGAAAAUGUCACGUAAAUCAGUUCAAAAUCGCCAAGCAGCGCUUAACUCCUGUUGCCAGAAGGUGGCGCUAUCACUAUGUCUGAAUGUUGUCAUGUAGACAUGUUCAAGGCGAGAGUGUUAUCAAACACGUGAAGUUUCAUUGAGAUUGGACCACGUACGCUGAAGUUAUGAGGACGUGUUCAGGGCAAAACUGUUUCAAAAUAUAUUAAGUUUAUCGGAGAUUGGACAUUGCACACUGAAGUUAUGAGUACUAUUUUAUGGCGAAUAUGCUGAAAUGGACAAGUCGUCACUGGCACGCGGUUUAAUGUACAGUCCCAGCUGAACUUUUCUAUCAGUUUGUAUGACGAAAGAAUUCAAAGUGACCAACUUUGACCUCACGCCACAGACACACCGUUCAACGUACAUGCACAAAUAGCACAACUUUUAAUCAGGACCAUUUUUUGAGUGUACUCACAAAUUUUGAAGCAUAUCCGAUAAAUUCCCUAGGAGGAGUUCGUUCAAAUACAACGCGAAAAGUUUGCCGAAAUCGAAAC
Dicentrarchus labrax (European seabass) is the source of this 4646-nucleotide long non-coding RNA. RefSeq lists it as uncharacterized. The transcript is spliced from 4 exons. The record is from RefSeq and is a predicted model, not a curated record. NCBI's taxonomy places the organism in Eukaryota, Metazoa, Chordata, Actinopteri, Moronidae.